Long non-coding RNA from Phycodurus eques (leafy seadragon), 2987 nucleotides. RefSeq lists it as uncharacterized. The record is from RefSeq and is a predicted model, not a curated record. Lineage: Eukaryota; Metazoa; Chordata; Actinopteri; Syngnathiformes; Syngnathidae. The transcript is spliced from 3 exons.
UCUUUCCCACUGAGGGCAUAUCCAAACUUUCACUGACUUCAGCCAUACAAAGAGGCUUUCUUCAAUGCGCCCUCGGGUCCAACUGCAGUCGGAACAUCUUUUAUGCAGCUUUCAGUGAGAGGACUCUCUGGAAAUAUGGCAGGGGACAGGAAACCGGAAUCUGCAGCUCUCCCACCAAGGAUUUUCUCAAAACUGAAGUUCUGAGCUCAGCCGCGAGCGUGCGGCACACUAGAAACUCAGUGGUUGUCGACAGGCCCACGCGGCAACUCGCAAGAUGACCACCGCCAGGCCGGGGGGCGUGCCAUUGCGGCUAAGUUCGGAGAGGGGUGAGAAGGAGGUGCGUCUUGGUCUCGCUGAAGGCCGAGGAGGGUGCAUCAAAAUCACAUUUGUCGUAGCAUGGCAUAUAGCCAUACUAUGCUACAAAAUAUUUGACCAAAAAAAUUGAAGUAAUAAGUCAAACCUCAGAAACAAUCAAAGCACAAGUGAAAUAGAAAAACAUCUAAAACAUCAAAACAUCACCACAAUACGAUAGUAUAUAAAGUCCGACAGUUGAAGAUGGUUGUGGAGCCGAAAGUAGGAAGUUCCCUCUCGAGCCACAAUUGUAAGGAGGUACACACACACACACGCACGCACACACAGGUACGUGACCAUGUUAAAAAAUGUUAUGUAAUGCAACAGUGGUUCGCUUCACCACUGAUAUUUGGAGCAGCAGCGUGAGUCCGGUGUCAGGCCAGCCGAGAGACAUAGUUUCUCCAGCGUGUCCCGGGUCACGUCCCACUGGGUUUCAUCCCAGUGGGACGUGGCCCGGAACACUUCACCAGGGAGGCGUCCAGGAGGCAUCCUAAACAGAUGCCCCAGCCACCUCAUCUGGCUCCUCUCAAUGCGGAGGAGCAGCGGCUCUACUCUGAGAUCCUCCCGGAUGACCGAGCAUCUCACCCUAUAUCUAAGGGAGAGCCCGGACACCCUGCGGAGGAAACUCAUUUCGGCCGCUUACAUCCGGGAUCUCGUUCUUUCCAUAAGUGAGGGUAGGAACGUAGAUCGACCGGUAAAUCGAGAGCUUAGUCUUUCGGCUUAGCUCCUUCUUCACCACAACGGACCGAUACAAAGUCCGCAUCACUGCAGACGCUGCACCGAUCCGCCUGUCGUUCUCCCGUUCCAUUCUUCCCUAACUCGUGAACAAGACCCCAAGAUAUUUGAACUCCUCCACUUGGGGCAGGAUCUCAUCCCCAAGCCAGAGCGGGCACGCGAACCUUUUCCGACUGAGGACCACGGUCUCAGAUUUGGAGGUGCUGAUUCUCAUCCCAGCCUCUUCACACUCGGCUGCGAACUGCUCCAGUGAGAGUUGGAGAUCACGGCGGCUUGAUGAAGCCAACAGAACCACAUCAUCUGCAAAAAGCAGAGAUGCAAGACUGAGGCCACCAAACCGGACCCCCUCUACGCCUCGGCUGCGCCUAGAAAUUCUGUCCAUAAAAGUUAUGAACAGAAUCGGUGACAAAGGGCAGCCUUGGCCGAGUCCAACCCUCACCGGAAACGAGUCCGACUUACUGCCGGUAAUGUGGACCAAACUCUGACAUUGGUCGUACAGCCCAUAUCAGGGGGUUCGGCACCCCAUAGUCCCGAAGUACCCCCCACAGGACUCCCCGAGGGACACGGUCGAACGUCUUCUCCAAGUCCACAAAACACAUGUAGACUGGUUGGGCGAACUCCCAUGCACCCUCGAAGACCCUGCCGAGGGUGUUGAGCUGGUCCACUGUUGCACGGCCAGGACAAAAACCACACUGCUCCUCCUGAAUCUGAGAUUCGACUUCCCGGCGGACCCUUGCUGCUUUCAAGCAAAGAUUUCUCCAGAUUCGUUGAAACUUUUGAUGAUAUUAUGGCCCGUAGAUGAUAAAAUCCCUAAAUUAUUUGCAAAUGUACACUGAGAAAUGUUGUUCUUAAACUGUUGGACUAUUUGCACAUGCAGUUGUUCACAAAGCGGUGAACCUCGCCCCAUCCUUGCUUGUGAACAACGGAGCCUUGCAGGGAUGCUACUUUUAUACCCACUCAUGACAUUCCCCUUUUUCCAAUUAACCUGACGACCUGUGGAAUGUUUUUUGAGCAUUCCUCAAUGUUCCCCAUCUUUUGUUACCCUUGUCUCUGCAUUCUUGGAAUUACAGCAACAACAAAAAAACUUUCAUCAGUUUGAACAUGAAAUAUCUUGUCUGUGUCGUAUAUUCAAUCGAAUAUUGGUUGAAAACAGUUUGCAAAUCAUUGUAUUCCUUUUUUCUUUCCAUUUGACACAACAUCUCAAUGGGCGUUUGUAAAUCAGCUCCCCCACAAACUCGACACCAUAUUGCAUGCUGCCAUGCACUUUGUCACCGGUGCUCCUUUUAACACCUACCGUUGUUAAACUGCUCCCUGGUUAAUUGGCCCUUUGUUCACUCACACAAACAAAUCCACUGAUUCAUGUUCAUCUAUAAAACACUCAUUGGCAAGACCCCACCUAUGUUCACUCUCUCCCCACCAUGCAUACCACCACCCACACUUUCUGUUCCAGCAGUUUAAUUAACCCCGUUUGUUCCCAAAGUCUGCACUAAUAUGGUUUUAUUCGGUCGUCUUUUCAAUGUUCUGCUCCAAAUGACUGAAACGCUGUACAACAAAUGAUCAAACUCGCCUCAUUCGUCCAAAUAUCAUCAUCAUUUAAAAUGGUAAAGAGGGAUCCUGUACAUCAUUGCUGUACCUGUUUUUAGCCUGUUAGGAACCUUUAAUUCACCAUAUGCUAUGAUGUAAUGUUAUGGAUUGUGUAAAUAUGUAACUAUAUCACAUUGUACAGUUUUUUUGAGAUGUAUUUGUAUUUUCUUUUAUCGUGCUUUGUUUUACUUUGCUGUCUGCAGCCGGUUCGGCGUUGCAAAUGAGAAUCUGUUUUCAAUGUCCUUACCUGGAUUAAAAAAAAGAAAGCGAUUCCAAUCUCUUUCCACUCGCAUGUCCUGGUUCUGAAUUGGAAGCAA